CCCAAUUCAACCCAUUUUUGUAUUUGAUUCAAACUGCCAGGAUAACGCUCUGACAUAAAUUUACACAACGGUGGCAGGAUAUUAGUCUCAUGGUUUUCACCCGUCUCCCCUUUACUCUGAACACUACCCAUUUAGCUAUCUGUAUCUGUAUACAAGGAGUGUACGCGCCUAUAAAGGUGCGCACAAACGGAGAAAUACCACAUGCAUAACUAAGGAGACACAGGAUGUUGCAACCUUGUGACGAAUACUACAGGUCUCGUCGGGACGGCAGCUUCUCACCCUCAGGGAGGAAUCACCUAUACUAAAUGGCCUCCUGUCCGUCCGUCAGAGUCCAGAUCACGCGUUCAUCCCAUCCUCGUCGCCAAG
Gasterosteus aculeatus aculeatus (three-spined stickleback) is the source of this 366-nucleotide long non-coding RNA. NCBI's taxonomy places the organism in Eukaryota, Metazoa, Chordata, Actinopteri, Perciformes, Gasterosteidae. The record is from Ensembl.